GACGAACGCUGGCGGCGUGCUUAACACAUGCAAGUCGAACGGUAAGGCCCUUCGGGGUACACGAGUGGCGAACGGGUGAGUAACACGUGGGUGAUCUGCCCUGCACUUCGGGAUAAGCCUGGGAAACUGGGUCUAAUACCGGAUAGGACCACUGCCUGCAUGGGUGGUAGUGGAAAGCUUUUGCGGUGUGGGAUGGGCCCGCGGCCUAUCAGCUUGUUGGUGGGGUGAUGGCCUACCAAGGCGACGACGGGUAGCCGGCCUGAGAGGGUGACCGGCCACGCUGGGACUGAGAUACGGCCCAGACUCCUACGGGAGGCAGCAGUGGGGAAUAUUGCAAAAUGGGCGCAAGCCUGAUGAAGCGACGCCGCGUGAGGGAUGACGGCCUUCGGGUUGUAAACCUCCUUCAGCACCGACGAAGCGCAAGUGACGGUAGGUGCAGAAGAAGGACCGGCCAACUACGUGCCAGCAGCCGCCGCCG
RNAcentral lists this ribosomal RNA (478 nucleotides) under uncultured bacterium. Its description in RNAcentral is "partial 16S ribosomal RNA". It matches the Rfam family "Bacterial small subunit ribosomal RNA", at positions 28 to 523 of the family's 1533-position model. The record is from RNAcentral.